Long non-coding RNA from Oncorhynchus nerka (sockeye salmon), 3558 nucleotides. RefSeq lists it as uncharacterized. NCBI's taxonomy places the organism in Eukaryota, Metazoa, Chordata, Actinopteri, Salmoniformes, Salmonidae. The record is from RefSeq and is a predicted model, not a curated record. The transcript has 4 exons.
ACUGCAUGAGAACCCAAAAUAUACAGAUGUUUUUCUCCCAUGUUUGUAAACAUUGUAAAUGUAAACAAAUACUGUAUAGCCUCAUAACAUGGUUAAAACAAUAAUUCUGAUAUCACCAUUCUCAGAUUAAUGGACAGAGCUAUGGAUGCAAGGAUGCAAGGACUGACCACCCAUGAUAUCAACAUUAUUGUUACAUUAUUGUUACAUUUCUCCACACUAACAAAAAGGUAAACAAUAGGCCUAUAGCAAAUGCAGCAUAUGGCAUUCAUUUUCACACGUAAAUAGCAUUUUUCAGUUGUGCUCAAAGCAUUCCAUUCCAUGAUUGCAGCAUUUACUUUUCAACUCGAAUCAAUGAGCUCAAUUAGUCCUCCAUGACAAUAAAAUCAUAAACAACGAAGUAAGGCUGGCUAAUUAGUUCUUCGUUUUAGGAACAUGCUCAGGUAAAGCAGUUUGGCCAAUCUAUGCUUCCAUAUUUCCAAGUCCUAUUCUUGAAGAUCAAGGGGUAUAACAUUUAUUGGAAUGACUGGAAUUCUGAUAGACUUUGGUUUUUAAUGUAGUAGAUAUGUAGUAGAAAGCGAUGGGUUAGAAGAAGCCUACAUAACCAACCCAUAAAGUAAAAUGUAACAUUCAUAUAUGGCCAGCUAUGUAAACUUUAACAUUGAUUUAUCCUGGAAUGUUGUUCAAUUGGUAAUAUACAUUUUUGUUUCCUUCUAAUGCCUCUUAAGGGGAAAGUAAUCUAAAAGUAACGGAAUGUAAUCAGAAUACAUGACUAAAUUUGGAUAAUCCAAAAGUUACAUUACUGAUUACAAUUUUGGACCGGUAACUGUAACAGAUUACAUUUAGAAAGUAACCUACCCAACCCUGGCCUUGUUUGAAUUGCCCUGCCAAUGCAUUGUUGUUCAGGCCAUUUUUGAUGAUGGUGCCUGCCCGUUGCGAUUUUAGCUUGUACAUCUUGGUGCCAGCAAAGCCACAACACAACACUAAACAAUACGUUAAUUGCGCUAUAACGGUGACAAACCGUGCUUACAAACUGUUUGGGCCUAAAUCAAAUCAAAUUUUAUUUGUCACAUACACAUGUUUAGCAGAUGUUAUUGCGGGUGUAGCGAAAUGCUUUUGUUUCAAGCUCCAACAGUGCAGGAAUAUCUAACAAUUCACAACAAUAGACACAAUACACACAACCUAAAAGUAAAAUCAUGGAAUUAAGGAAUAUAUAAAUAUUAGGAUGAGAAAUGUCGGAGUGGCAUAGACUAAAUACAGUAGAAUAGAAUGCAGUAUAUACAUAUGAAAUGAGUAAAGCAAAAAUAUGUAAACAUUAUUCAAAUGACUAGUGUUCCAUUAUUAAAGUGGCCAGUGAUUUCAAGUCUAUGUAUAUGGGGCAGCAGCCUCCAAGGUGCAGGGUUACGUAACUGGGUGGAUGGAAGCCGUCUAGUGAUGGCUAUUUAACAGUCUGACGGCCUGGAAAUAGAAGCUAUUUUUCAGUCUUGUAAGGAAGUGCUAUUUCUUAUGCAGAUGACCAGCCUACUGCUAUUACAUUGCUAUAACUGAGACAACGUAUUUUCACAGUAAAACAUGUUAGGUCCCAUACAGGAUAGCUCCCACACCCACACACACACACAUUACACACACUAACUGCCGAGGACACACAGAUAAGACAUACACCCACACAUUUGGGAGGAGGACACACAGCCUUGAGACAGAAACCAGCGCACACACAAAAUCUCCUUCCUAGCCGAACAUUGUGUGACUGAGAACGAGACGACGAGACCCGGAGGAACGACGGACGGCUCAACAGGACCAAUCCAAGAAGACAACACCUCAACUGUGGCCAAUCAAAAGCCAGGGACUUUCAGACUCAACCCACUUUUCUGUACUGUACUUAACAUGCUUGCAAUCUGUUAUCGGGGCUUCUUUCUGCUGGUUCCUUGGUAGCCAAAUGAAUGAGCCCGUAUACGUUGUACCAGAUAUCUUUACUCUGAAUAAACUGUCGCUUGUCAUAUAAUUGACCACCUUGUCCGAAUCGAUCCUUGACCGACUCGCCCUAUCUACAUAUCCCAUCAUCAACAGUCUCUCGGUCCCAACUUUGAUGCACUUGUACUGACCUUGCCUUCUGGAUGAUAGCGGGGUGAACAGGCCGUGGCUCGGGUGGUUGUUGUCCUUAAUUAUCUUUUUGGCCUUCCUGUGACAUCAGGUGCUAUAGGUGUCCGGGAAGGCAGGUAGUUUGCCCCGGAUGAUGCCUUGGGCAGACCGCACCACCCUCUGGAGAGCCCUGCGGUUGCCGUACCAUGCGGUGAUACAUCCCGAAAGGAUGCUCUCAAUUGUGCAUCUGUAGAAGUUUGUGAGGGUUUUAGGCGCCAAGACAAAUUUCUUCAGCCUCGUGACAUUGAAGAGGCGCUGUGGAGCCUUCUUCACAACACUGUCUGUGUGGGUCGAUCAUUUCAGAUCAUGCGGUCCCGUCGAUGUGGAUAGGGGGGCGCUCCCUCUGCUGUUUCCUUAAGUCCACGAUCGAAUUCGCCAAAGCUCUAGAGCAUAUCACCAAACGCUACAUGCAGUAAUUCCUUGACGUCACUUGGAGGGCUCCCUGUCGUCUACUGUGGCUCAGAUGACCAACAGGAGCUGCCAGCGCGGUGUGGAGAGAGAGAGAUUCAGAGAGAGAGAGAGCAAGAUAAACGAUCGAUUCUGUGCGUGCAUGAUGGACAUUUAAACAUCCACUCAUCUGAAAUUGCAAAUUGUUUGGAUGGGCAAUGAGAGGAGACAUCAGAUGGGAGUAACCAGGAGAUGUGGUGUCAACGUACCCCAUUUGACUGUGUACGUGGAUCGGGGUGAUUGAUGGCAGUGAUGGAUGUCACUUCCUGUUGUCCUACUGGUUAUCUCAGGGCCUGAGGUGGAGGACAGCACCUUAUCCCUGGUCACUGAAAUCCCUAGCUCACACCCUGUUCCUCCCCUUCCUUGUCCCCUUCAGCCGCUUUCAGAGGACCCCUCCCCCUUCCUAGUUCAAAGUUUAGAUUCUCCUCCAGUAGAAAUUAAUGGAACUUAUCUGGACAUGCCGCCGGAGUAAUUUGUCAGGAAGCCUGUCGCCAAGAAUAACGCAAGAGGUUUCCGUCAGCCUUACAGUGUGUGUGCCAAGGUGAAGGAUGACUAGGAAUCCUGUUAUUUUGUUUGGUAGUAGGUUUUUUGAAGUUGUCCUUUUCCACAGAAAAGAUACAUCUAGGCAGGCUAUGUACAUCCAUCCAUGCUUGUUAUACUGUGUAUUAAUGAACUAUGUUGGACUGACCUGGUGGGUGAUGUGAGGUCAUGAACUACCAGAAUCAGGUUGUGUUCUAUUAGAAAUCACACAAUGUUGAAUGCAGGGUAAUGAAUGAAGGAUGAGUCAUUGCCAGUGAAUCUCCUGAAUCACUCUGUGCUGCUUAGAAACACAGCGUCUGAACUCUACUUUAAAUAGUCUACUGUAUGCUAUAUCCUGUCUGUGUAGAGAUGCCAAUCCCACAGCCAGAAAAAUGUAAUGAUGCUUCCAGUUUUCUUAUUAUAAAGCACAGUCCCACUGGGUACACAUUGGUUGAA